This 253-nucleotide ribosomal RNA is filed under the name uncultured bacterium. Its description in RNAcentral is "partial 16S ribosomal RNA". It matches the Rfam family "Bacterial small subunit ribosomal RNA", at positions 524 to 776 of the family's 1533-position model. The record is from RNAcentral.
GACGUAGGGCGCGAGCGUUGUCCGGAUUUAUUGGGCGUAAAGAGCUCGUAGGCGGCUUGUCGCGUCGUCCGUGAAAACCUGCAGCUCAUCUGCAGGCUUGCGGGCGAUACGGGCAGGCUAGAGUUCGGUAGGGGAGACUGGAAUUCCUGGUGUAGCGGUGAAAUGCGCAGAUAUCAGGAGGAACACCGGUGGCGAAGGCGGGUCUCUGGGCCGAUACUGACGCUGAGGAGCGAAAGCGUGGGGAGCGAACAGG